AACGAACGCUGGCGGCAUGCCUAACACAUGCAAGUCGAACGAGACCUUCGGGUCUAGUGGCGCACGGGUGCGUAACGCGUGGGAACCUGCCCUUAGGUUCGGAAUAACUCCCCGAAAGGGGUGCUAAUACCGGAUAAUGUCUUCGGACCAAAGAUUUAUCGCCUUUGGAUGGGCCCGCGUUGGAUUAGCUAGUUGGUAGGGUAAAAGCCUACCAAGGCGACGAUCCAUAGCUGGUCUGAGAGGAUGAUCAGCCACACUGGGACUGAGACACGGCCCAGACUCCUACGGGAGGCAGCAGUGGGGAAUAUUCGACAAUGGGCGAAAGCCUGAUCCAGCAAUGCCGCGUGAGUGAUGAAGGCCUUAGGGUUGUAAAGCUCUUUUACCCGGGAUGAUAAUGACAGUACCGGGAGAAUAAGCUCCGGCUAACUCCGUG
Molecule: ribosomal RNA, 433 nt
Filed under: uncultured bacterium
Lineage: Bacteria
Description: partial 16S ribosomal RNA
Rfam family: Bacterial small subunit ribosomal RNA
Source: RNAcentral